Macaca mulatta (Rhesus monkey) is the source of this 2262-nucleotide long non-coding RNA. RefSeq lists it as uncharacterized. Lineage: Eukaryota; Metazoa; Chordata; Mammalia; Primates; Cercopithecidae. The record is from RefSeq and is a predicted model, not a curated record.
GGGAACGUGGAGGAAGGUUCUGCCACUGCCCACUGCCUGCCAUGCCUCUGUUUGGAUGACGACAUCCUUAAACAUUCCCACGGCUCUGUUUGGACAUCUGAUGACUUAAGGAAUCAUUAUGUGUUUUUAGGUGCCAUAAUGGUACUGUGGGCAUCUUUGAGAGACAUGUGGAGGCGUGAAGGUGCGGUAUGAAGCGGUAUGACGCCUGGGAUAUAAGAUGGCCCAGGGUGGAAAGAGGAAACAGCCACCAUCUCUGACAAACCCCAUCCUUCCAUGCACAACUUUCCCCUUUGAAGUGCUCCAGUAGGAGUUUGGAAGCCAGAUAUAAAAACUUACAUUACAGCUGAGAAAACACAGCUCUGGGUCUUUGGUUUAUGGGGUAACCGAAGUCCUCACACAUGCGAGUUUAGAUGCCAAGCCAGUGGCCCCACUGCAGCUCGGGAGAGAAGGUUGGGGUGGGCCAGGGACAGCGGCAGCAAAGCCAGCUCGAGGAACUCUGAGGGGCCUGACCCCUCUCACCGCCCAGCACACCCCGGGCCCCCACUGCUUCUUCAACACAACAUGUGGUCUUCAUCUCAAGCGCAAGGCCUGAAAACAGUUUUCCAAUUUCCGGGAUGGCUUCUGGCCACAGGCCGACCAUGGAUCCAAAAGAUGAUCUGACCCAGGAGAGCAGGCGGGGCCGUCGCUGGGCUUCCUGGUGCUUUAGGGACCGGCCACCCGCGGAGAACAUGCACUGCACGGUGGCUGGAGGUGGCCACCAGUACCCGCAGCCACCCCAGGAGGAAGGGCAGGCAGCACCUCUGUGUGUGGUUUGGAUGUCCAGGGGGGAGAUUCCCGGGACUCUCUUCAAGAGACACCCCAGACUCCAUGGAAAAUGGAAAGACCGUCAUUUUCGUGGUUUUUGCAAAUGCAAAAGAUUUGAGAGCUGGCUCGAGCCAAGUCGUACACUAGGAGUGGCUUGCCCUGGGCGAGCAACUCGGGACGGGACUCUCCAGAGCCCAGCUUGUGGGGGCAGCCCGGGAGAAUUGUCCACCGGGCACAGAGCUGUGGGGCAAGUGACAGAGAGAAGAGCCAGUGGGCGUUCUGGAGCCACCAGGCCACUGUCUCCUGGACCUGGUCUGUCUGACGCUGCCUCAGCGAUGACCCCUGUUACCCACCCACAGAACCCAGGCCUGCAAUCCUGUGAGUUGGUUGGAGCCAGGCACCCUCCUGAGCCCAUGAAGAGCCCCACGAAUUAGGCGCCAUUAUGGCUCCAUUUUACAGAUGAGGAAACUAAGACUCAGAGAGGUUAAGUAACUUGCCUAUGGUCAUGCAGCUAACAAGUGGCAGGGCCAGGAAAGCUGCCAUGCCACGAUUUCUUCACAUUUGGGCAGUGAGGCAAGGACACUGACUCGGAAGUCGCUUCUGGAUCCCUAGGGUUGCUGGAACCUGUGGAACCUGAGUCUAGAGAACCUGCCCGCUGCACUGCGGUGUGGACGGGGCUGGUGCUGGUGAACUGACUGCGACUCGCUUCUCCCCUGUCUGUUCCGGAACCCCGCCUGGCCAUGCUGAGCUGCAACCUAACUUAGAGGUAGAGGCCGCCCCACGUCUACACAGAGAGCCUCCAGAGCUGCGGGGAUAUGGCUGCCAUGAGAUAUCACAGGCAGAGGGUAGCUUUUCCUUCCUCCUGUUGGGAGGUGACAGAGGGAGAGAAAGGACAGCCUCAACGGUUAAACGUCAUACUGACUGCCCAGCAACGGCCUCCUGUCUCUACAAGGAGAGAAAGGGCAGCGUCGGCCGUGGCUGUGUAACCACCGUGAGACUGGGGCGAAGUCUGGCUCCCGAAGGUGGCAAGCCGGGCCCAAGGGACAAGAGUGAAGGGCACAUGGGACAGACCUGGGCCUGGAGGGCCCUGCAGGGCAGAGACAGGUACCUUGGCAGCGGCCAGCUCGUGGGCGAGCUCCUGGAUCUUCUGCUGCUGCUGAAUCAGCAGCUCCUGGACGGAGGCGAGGGUCGUCUGUAACUGAGUCACUGCGAGGAGAAAGCAGUCACGGCGCGGUUAAAUUCACAGGCACAGAUGUUCCUCUCACUCGGUCCGUGCACCUAGGAGCUGCCCAUGUUCCCGCUCCAUCUAAUUUAUCUGCAGACACCCCCAGCCCCCCGCAAUCCAUCUAAUUUAUCUGCACUCUGGGUGAUCUGCCUGCCCUGUGUCUAACCUCUAGUAUUUCUACUUUAUCUUUCUAUUGUGUAGUUGUCCAUGGUCAACAGUAUAUCCGUCCAGAA